Molecule: ribosomal RNA, 303 nt
Filed under: Buitinga sp. DNA100446448
Lineage: Eukaryota; Metazoa; Arthropoda; Arachnida; Araneae; Pholcidae
Description: partial 12S ribosomal RNA
Source: RNAcentral
UAUUAAACCAAUAUAUUAUGGCGGUUCUAAUAAUUUAGAGAAACUCGCUUUAUAAUCGAUAAUACCCGUUAAUUUUCACUUAUUUUACAAAGAUUUAUAUACCGCCGUUAAAGAUUUAAUACUAACAAUUAAUAAACACAAUAUAUUCUUAUAUAAUAAAUCAGGUCAAGGUGUAAUUAAUUAAUAAGAAAAAGUAAGUUACAUUAAAAAUAAUUUAAGAAUAUAAAACAAAAAUAAUAUUGAAAGAGAAUUUAAACGUAAUUUUAUAUUAAAAAUUUGAACAGAGCUAACCAAUUAGAAUGU